This 450-nucleotide ribosomal RNA is filed under the name Sphingopyxis taejonensis. RNAcentral's name for it is "bacterial SSU rRNA". It matches the Rfam family "Bacterial small subunit ribosomal RNA", at positions 1033 to 1482 of the family's 1533-position model. Lineage: Bacteria; Pseudomonadati; Pseudomonadota; Alphaproteobacteria; Sphingomonadales; Sphingopyxidaceae. The record is from RNAcentral.
GACAGGUGCUGCAUGGCUGUCGUCAGCUCGUGUCGUGAGAUGUUGGGUUAAGUCCCGCAACGAGCGCAACCCUCAUCCCUAGUUGCCAUCAUUUAGUUGGGCACUCUAUGGAAACUGCCGGUGAUAAGCCGGAGGAAGGUGGGGAUGACGUCAAGUCCUCAUGGCCCUUACACGCUGGGCUACACACGUGCUACAAUGGCAACUACAGUGGGCAGCAACCUCGCGAGGGGUAGCUAAUCUCCAAAAGUUGUCUCAGUUCGGAUUGUUCUCUGCAACUCGAGAGCAUGAAGGCGGAAUCGCUAGUAAUCGCGGAUCAGCAUGCCGCGGUGAAUACGUUCCCAGGCCUUGUACACACCGCCCGUCACACCAUGGGAGUUGGUUUCACCCGAAGGCAGUGCUCUAACCCGCAAGGGAGGAAGCUGACCGAGAGUGGGAUCAGCGACUGGGGUG